GGGGCCUGUGAUGAUCUGUCAAAAUUUGCCUACAUUGGUUGAUUCUCAUUCAUGAUAAGAAUCUAUGACUGUUCUGAGGCCUCC
Molecule: small nucleolar RNA, 84 nt
Organism: Magnolia sinica
Lineage: Eukaryota; Viridiplantae; Streptophyta; Magnoliopsida; Magnoliales; Magnoliaceae
Product: small nucleolar RNA SNORD34
Exons: 1
Source: RefSeq, a predicted model, not a curated record